Molecule: ribosomal RNA, 359 nt
Filed under: uncultured Sphingobacteriales bacterium
Lineage: Bacteria; Pseudomonadati; Bacteroidota; Sphingobacteriia; Sphingobacteriales
Description: bacterial SSU rRNA
Rfam family: Bacterial small subunit ribosomal RNA
Source: RNAcentral
CGGACAAUAUACAAGGUGCUGCAUGGUUGUCGUCAGCUCGUGCCGUGAGGUGUCGGGUUAAGUCCCAUAACGAGCGCAACCCCUACCUUUAGUUGCCAUCAGGUUAAGCUGGGGACUCUAAAGGAACUGCCUACGCAAGUAGUGAGGAAGGCGGGGAUGACGUCAAAUCAGCACGGCCCUUACGUCCAGGGCUACACACGUGCUACAAUGGCCGAUACAGAGGGCAGCUACCUGGUGACAGGAUGCAAAUCUCCAAAGUCGGUCUCAGUUCGGAUCGGAGUCUGCAACCCGACUCCGUGAAGUUGGAUUCGCUAGUAAUCGCGCAUCAGCCAUGGCGCGGUGAAUACGUUCCGGGCCUU